CCUACGGGAGGCAGCAGUGAGGAAUAUUGGUCAAUGGACGAGAGUCUGAACCAGCCAAGUAGCGUGAAGGAUGACUGCCCUCUGGGUUGUAAACUUCUUUUAUAUGGGAAUAAAACGUUCCACGUGUGGGAUUUUGUAUGUACCAUAUGAAUAAGGAUCGGCUAACUCCGUGCCAGCAGCCGCGGUAAUACGGAGGAUCCGAGCGUUAUCCGGAUUUAUUGGGUUUAAAGGGAGCGUAGGUGGAUUGUUAAGUCAGUUGUGAAAGUUUGCGGCUCAACCGUAAAAUUGCAGUUGAAACUGGCAGUCUUGAGUACAGUAGAGGUGGGCGGAAUUCGUGGUGUAGCGGUGAAAUGCUUAGAUAUCACGAAGAACUCCGAUUGCGAAGGCAGUUCACUGGACUGCAACUGACACUGAGGCUCGAAAGUGUGGGUAUCAAACAGGAUUAGAUACCCUUGUAGUC
Molecule: ribosomal RNA, 460 nt
Filed under: uncultured bacterium
Lineage: Bacteria
Description: partial 16S ribosomal RNA
Rfam family: Bacterial small subunit ribosomal RNA
Source: RNAcentral